RNAcentral lists this ribosomal RNA (373 nucleotides) under uncultured organism. RNAcentral's name for it is "partial 16S ribosomal RNA". It matches the Rfam family "Bacterial small subunit ribosomal RNA", at positions 527 to 896 of the family's 1533-position model. The record is from RNAcentral.
GUAGGUGGCAAGCGUUGUCCGGAAUUAUUGGGCGUAAAGCGCGCGCAGGCGGUUCUUUAAGUCUGAUGUGAAAGCCCACGGCUCAACCGUGGAGGGUCAUUGGAAACUGGAGAACUUGAGUACAGAAGAGGAAAGCGGAAUUCCACGUGUAGCGGUGAAAUGCGCAGAGAUGUGGAGGAACACUAGUGGCGAAGGCGGCUUUCUGGUCUGUAACUGACGCCGAGGCGCGAAAGCGUGGGGAGCAAACAGGAUUAGAUACCCUGGUAGUCCACGCCGUAAACGAUGAGUGCUAAGUGUUAGGGGGGUUUCCGCCCCCCUUAGUGCUGCAGCUAACGCAUUAAGCACUCCGCCUGGGAGUACGGCCGCAAGGCUG